This 85-nucleotide small nucleolar RNA is filed under the name Erinaceus europaeus (western European hedgehog). RNAcentral describes it as "Small nucleolar RNA SNORA77 (ENSEEUG00000022567.1)". Lineage: Eukaryota; Metazoa; Chordata; Mammalia; Eulipotyphla; Erinaceidae. The record is from RNAcentral.
ACAGUAGGAUGUCUGUCUGUCACAGUAACACUCCAGGCGCUGCAAUCAUCUUGACAUGGCGAUACAGUUGCCAGGGGACAAGGUA